RNAcentral lists this unclassified non-coding RNA (520 nucleotides) under uncultured Glomus. RNAcentral's name for it is "SSU rRNA". It matches the Rfam family "Eukaryotic small subunit ribosomal RNA", at positions 569 to 1092 of the family's 1831-position model. Lineage: Eukaryota; Fungi; Glomeromycota; Glomeromycetes; Glomerales; Glomeraceae. The record is from RNAcentral.
AGCAGCCGCGGUAAUUCCAGCUCCAAUAGCGUAUAUUAAAGUUGUUGCAGUUAAAAAGCUCGUAGUUGAAUUUCGGGAUCAGUUGGUCGGUCGUGCCUCGGUACGUACUGGUCAAAUUGAUUCCUACCUUCUGACGAACCACGAUGUCAUUAAUUUGGUGUCGCGGGAAAUCAGGACUGUUACUUUGAAAAAUUAGAGUGUUUAAAGCAGGCUCGCGCUUGAAUACAUUAGCAUGGAAUAAUGAAAUAGGACGUUUGAUUCUAUUUUGUUGGUUUCUAGGAUCGACGUAAUGAUUAAUAGGGAUAGUUGGGGGCAUUAGUAUUCAAUUGUCAGAGGUGAAAUUCUUGGAUUUAUUGAAGACUAACUACUGCGAAAGCAUUUGCCAAGGAUGUUUUCAUUAAUCAAGAACGAAAGUUAGGGGAUCGAAGACGAUCAGAUACCGUCGUAGUCUUAACCAUAAACUAUGCCGACUAGGGAUCGGAUGAUGUUAAUUUUUAAUGUACUCAUUCGGCGCCUUACG